This 6062-nucleotide long non-coding RNA is filed under the name Medicago truncatula (barrel medic). RNAcentral's name for it is "long non-coding RNA (MTRU_LNC004415)". The record is from RNAcentral. Lineage: Eukaryota; Viridiplantae; Streptophyta; Magnoliopsida; Fabales; Fabaceae.
AUGUUAGGUACCAGAGUAACAAAAUAUUAUCACGCAUCUAAAAUAAGAGAAGAGAAAAGAGGAACUGAACACACAAUAUUUUACGUGGAAACCCCUCAACAAAUAAAGGGAAAAAACCACGGGGCAAGAGUAGAGAACUUUCACUAAGUGGAAGAAAUUACAGGACCUCUCUCUAAAUACAAGGAGAGUACAAUUACCACUCUCUCUUAUAAAUAGGAGAAUACAAACUAACACAAACUAGGAGAAACCUCACAGGAGAAGCUAUUUUUCCUCUCUAUAUUUUUUCUCUCACUAUCUAAACAAGCUUUACUUGUUCUUGUGUUGUUACUGAUUUGGGAUACUGAACAAUGAUUCACGGCUAGCUAUUUAUAGGAGCAAAAUCCAUUGCCUCAACAACUUGCAUUUAAGGCACCAUGGACUUUAGAACAACAACCAACCUAUUUUGUUGACAAUAGUGCACCGAAAAAUUACUUUCAAAGACAAAGUCAUAUUGUCCACAUGUUUUUACUGCCAUGCAUGCUGUAACAAUUCAACAAAAUGUGGCUUUACUUGUUCACACAUGUUCACAAUCUCCCACUUAAAGUCACUUUUGUGAGUAUUCAAAGUCUCUCUACCUUGCCAACUCUAGUUGCUACGUUUCCAAUAGGCCAUACAAAGAUCGACACCAUAUAAACUUGUCAGUGUUGAUCGACUUUGUCAUUGCAUCUGCUAGGUUAUCAUUAGUGUGAAUCUUCUGCAUAUCCACGCUUCCUUCCUCUACUACUUCGCGAACAAAAUGAUAUUGAAUGCCUAUGUGUUUCGUCCUUGAAUGAAAAGCUGGAUUCCUUGCAAUAUGCAAGGCACUCUGACUGUCACAAUACACAGUAAUUUGUUCCUGCUUGUGCCCGAGUUCCUCCAUUAACCUUUGCAUCCAAAUAGCUUCCUUGCAUGCUUGAGUAGCUGCCAUGUACUCCGCUUCUGUCGUUGACAGAGCUACAACCGUUUGUAACUUGGACAACCAACUUACUGCUCCUCCUGCAAGCGUGAACACAUAACCAGUAGUAGAUUUUCUUUUAUCAUGAUCACCUGCAAAAUCUGAAUCAACAUAACCCCUGACAGUUAACUCUGAUCCUCCGAAACAUACCGCAACACCUGAGGUUCCUUUAAUGUACCUCAUGAUUCUCUUAACAGCAUUCCAAUGCUCUUUACCCGGAUCCGCCAUAAACCGACUAACCACUCCCACUGCUUGUGCAAUGUCUGGUCUUGUACAUAUCAUGGCAUACAUAAGGCUUCCCACCGCCGAUGCAUACGGUACUCGAGACAUUUCCAUCCUCUCCGCUUCAUUGCUAGGACUCAUACCUGAGGAUAAUUUAAAAUUCACAGGAAGUGGGGUAGAGAUUGGCUUACAGUCUUGCAUGUUGAAGCGGCGCAAGACUUUCCUUAGAUAAUUCUUUUGAGAAAGCCAAAUCUUCCUGUCUUUUCUGUCUCGGUGAAUUUGCAUCCCUAAAAUCUUGUUUGCUGGUCCCAAGUCUUUCAUAUCGAACUCCCUAGCCAACUGUGCCUUCAAUUCUUGGACUCGAUCUUUUUUGGGGCCUACCACCAAUAUGUCAUCCACAUACAACAGCAAAAUGAUAAAAUCAUUACCAUCAAACCUUUUGUAGUACGUUCAAUGGUCUUAACUAAGUCUGUUGUAAUCGAGGCUAAUUAUGAAAGAAUCAAAUCUCUUGUACCAACAUCUGGGCGCCUGCUUUAGACUUUACAGAGAUUUGGUCAACCUGCAAACCAAGUUUUCUUUUCCUUGUUCCUUAAAUCCUUCCGGUUGGAGCAUAUAAAUUUCUUCUUCAAGUUCUCCAUGAAGAAAAACAGUCUUUACAUCCAGCUGUUCAAGAUGUAAAUCCAAUGCAGCACACAUCGCCAACACUACUCUGAUAGUAGUAAGUCUGACAACCGUAGAAAAUAUCUCAUUGAAGUCAAUACCUUCUUUCUGAGCAUAUCCUUUUACAACCAGUCUUGCACGAUUCCGUUCCACUUGAUCAUUGCCAUCACGUUUGAUCUUGUAUACCCAUUUGUUUCCAAUGGCUUUCCGACCCUUUGGAAGUUCAACAAGCUCCCAUGUCUUGUUCCUAUGUAAGGCCUCCAUUUCUUCAUGCAUUGCUGUCAUCCAUUGAGAAGCAUCCGAACCAUUCAACGCCUCAUGAAAAGUUGACGGUUCACCUUCUUCAGUUAUAAGACAAUAUGCAUCAUGGCUUGUCAUAACAUAGUCUGAUUGCCAAGACGGUUUCUGCGUCUGACGCGUUGAUCGACGAACACCAUCAUUGACAUCAUCUGGUUCUUGUUCUUCGUGCACCGAUUCAGCUUCAGAAGAAUCACUUUCUUUGGAUUUUUCUUCCAUCUGCACUAUAGCAGUCUCUUUAGAAGUGCUGUCAUUUUUCUGCUCACUUUGCAGUUCAUUUUCUGCAAAGACUACAUCCCUGCUAACAACAACCUUGCGGGCAGUGGGAUCCCACAGGCGAUACCCCUUAACAUUGUCAGCAUAACCCAAGAAGAUACAUUUCCUGGACUUUGGGUCCAACUUCGUUCUUUCUUGGGAGUUGUACAUCACGUACACAGGACAACCAAACACAUGCAGAGAAGAAUAAUCUACUGGCUUUCCUUUCCACAUCUCCAUCGGUGUCUUCAAAUCAAUCGCCGUUGAUGGUGAGCGAUUUAUUACAUAACAGGCGGUUUUCACUGCUUCUGCCCAGAACGACUUGGCCAUUCCCGCUGUUUUCAGCAUAGCUCUUGUUCUUUCUAGGAGAGUUCUAUUCAUCCGCUCUGCCACACCAUUCUGCUGAGGUGUAUGUGCAACCGUGAAUUGCCUUACAAUACCCUCUUGUUUACAAAAUGCUAGAAACUCGCCAUCUACAUAUUCUCCUCCAUUAUCUGUCCUCAAGCACUUAAUUUUCUUCCCAGUUUCAAGCUCUAUUUGUGCUUUGAAUGCCUUGAAUACUGGAAACACAUCUGACUUCUUCUUGAUUGGGUACACCCAUAAUCUUCUGGAAUAGUCAUCAAUGAAUGACACGAAGUAUCUUGCUCCUCCCAGAGAUAAUUCUGGUGACUCCCACACAUCAGAAUGUAUCAAGUCUAGUAUGUGUUUGCUUCUAGUAGUUACUCUAGCAAACUUCAAUCUAUGUUGCUUGCUUAUCACACAGUGCUCACAGAAUGGUAAAUUUACUGUCUUGAGCCCGUGAAGGAGAUUGCGUUCCACAAGGACUUUCAAGCCACGUUCAGACAUAUGGCCUAGUCUUUGAUGCCACAUCAUCGUUGUUUCUUCUUGGCUUGCUGCUGCAACUGAUGCAUCCGCCUCUUGCAAUGUAUCUCCCAGAAGCAUGUAUAGAUUACUUGUGAUCUUUUCUGCUUUCAUCACCACAAGAUUGCCUUUCACUACUUUCAAGAUUCCACUUUCAGUGUGGAUCUUACACCCGAGAUCAUCCAAUUGUCCAACAGACAAUAAAUUCUUCUUCAACCCCUUUACAUGACGCACUCCUUGUAUUUUUCGAACAGUACCAUCAUGCAUCUUUAAUCUGAUAGUACCGACUCCAGCAAUUUCUAAGGCAUGGUCAUUUCCCAUGUACACAGAUCCUUCUGAGAUAGGCUCAUAAGAGAAAAACCAAUCUCGGUGUGGAGUCAUGUGCCAUGUUGCACCUGAAUCCAUUAUCCAGACAUCGUUGAGUCGUCUUUCGCCUUUAGAACUGGUUGCUGCUUCACUAUACAGGAUUUCCCCGUCAUCUGAGGUACUUGCAACACAUCCUUGAGAUGUUGAAGCUUCAGAAUUCUUCUCUCCAUUCUUCUUGAUAUUCCAACACUCCUUCUUUACGUGCCCUUUCAUGCCACAACCGUAGCAUUUGAUAUUCUUCUUUCUUCGAGAUUUUGACCUACCAUGAUUUUGACUCCCACUGGGGCCACGUUCCGUUGAUCUGCCUCUCGUCAUCGUCAAAGCCUCUGCUUGCUUUGAACUCUCUGACCUUUCUUCCUUAUUCUUGCGCCUGGAUUCUUCUUCAAGGAUUGCACCGGCGACAUCAUCAAAGUGAAGAGUAUCAGUUAUGUUAUUAUUUGUAAUGUUGAUGAUGAGUUGAUCAUACGAAUCUGGUAAACUCUGAAGUAGAAGUUCAGCACGCUCAUUUUCCGCUAUUUUGAAAUCAGAAGCCGUGAGUUGAGAAAAUAGCGUAUUCAGGGUGUUGAUGUGAUCCGUUACGGAUGUGGAUUCACCCAUUCGAAGAGUGUAGAGCCUUCUCUUUAAGAAUAUUCUGUUGUGGAGUGAUUUGACCUCGUACAAUUUUAUUAGUGUAUCCCAGAUCUCCUUUGCUGUCUUCUUUUCAGCAAUACUUGACAAUACCGAGUCCGCCAUUGCUAGGUGCAAAUUGGCAACGGCAUUAUCAUCCAUCUCUUUCCACUUUUCAUCAGUGAUAUCUGCAGGUCUGCCAUCUAUUGCGUCUAGACAAUUAUCUUUUCUUAAAAUUGCCCUUAUCUUCAAUUUCCAUAGGGAAAAAUUUCUCCCGUUGAACUUCUCUAUCUCAAAUUUCGCUGCCAUGGUUUUACACCAAAUAUUUUUCUUUCAAACUAGACCGGAAUAAUAAGAAUUCUUUUCUGAUGUGGAAGAUCAGUUUAAACCGCAACCACAGAGCAUACUAAGAUUUUUCUUACCACUCCACUAGUUUAUCACAGCGGAAUAACAGCUACGAACCAGGGGCUCUGAUACCACUGUUAGGUACCAGAGUAACAAAAUAUUAUCACGCAGCUAAAAUAAGAGACGAGAAAAGAGGAACUGAACACACAAUAUUUUACGUGGAAACCCCUCAACAAAUAAGGGGAAAAAACCACGGGGCAAGAGUAGAGAACUUUCACUAAGUGGAAGAAAUUACAGGACCUCUCUCUAAAUACAAGGAGAGUACAAUUACCACUCUCUCUUAUAAAUAGGAGAAUACAAACACUAACACUACCUAGGAGAAACCUCACAGGAGAAACUAAUUUUUCUCUCUAUAUUUUUCCUCUCUCUAUUCUACUAAGAACAAGUAGUUGUUGUGUUACUUUGUUCUGGUGUUGUUACUAAUUUGGGAUGAGUAGAAUGGUGCAAGGGACAUGCUAUUUAUACUAGUGAAAGAGCCAUGCCCCAACCAAUUGCAUUUAUGGCAGCGUGUGAAUUUUCAACUUUGCAUAGUAACUUUCCAUGUGAACAUAGAAAUUACAUGCCAACAUGUUUUACUGCCAUGUGAUAACACUUCAACAAAAGUGGCUUUACCACUUUCCUGUGUCCACAUAGUAGACGUAUAGAUUGACUCAAUUUCAGUUUAUAUUUUUGGAGUCCACUUUGUCAAGUGAUGUUUUAUGUGAUAUAGAAAGAUGCAAUUUGUUCCCAGAGAUUCAAAUUAAACAAGAAAUAAAUGGUUUGAUCCUUGAGUUAGAUUUUAGAUCCCAAUAUUUCUUCUUUAUCCCCUUCUUUCUUCUUCCUUUCAUUGAAGUUGCCUUAUCAUAAGGAUGUGUUUGACAAGCAAAAUAAGCUAUCUUACAGUUGAUAUAGCUUAUAGCUUAUCACAUGGACAUUAACAUAUGUUUUUAUUAAUUUAAUUAUCAUUCAUUAUUUACCCCUAAAUAUUUAUCACUGAAUAUUGAGUUUUAUGGUUUUUAAGAUUUUUUUUUUGAAGUAUCCUGAAUGCUAACGAGAAGGUUUGAGUGUACUACUCCUCCUUUAGAAGAAGCGGCAUUGGGCUUGAAAGAGGCCAUUUUAUUGUAUGGUGAAAUGGGAUUUUCCAACGUUCAUAUUGAGCUAGAUUGUAGGCUAGAACCAACAGCCAGGCGUAAUUUGGCAACAUCAUGUCAACUUGUAGAUCACUUUUAACUCAUUUUCCAAACUUUAAGAUUAGUUUUAUCAGAAGACAAGCAAAUUUUGUUGCCUAUACACCAGCUAAGGCGUCAAAGUUGUAUGCUGAUCGCUAAAUAUUUCAUUUGAUUUCAUCUAUUGUUAUGAAUAUUUGAUUUGAUUCUAUCUUACAUUACAACUAUUGUUAUAAAUGAAUGAAAUAAUAUAAGUUUAUUUUGGUAAAAAA